This 162-nucleotide small nuclear RNA is filed under the name Echinops telfairi (small Madagascar hedgehog). Its description in RNAcentral is "U1 spliceosomal RNA (ENSETEG00000022162.1)". It matches the Rfam family "U1 spliceosomal RNA". From Rfam's summary of the family: U1 is a small nuclear RNA (snRNA) component of the spliceosome (involved in pre-mRNA splicing). Its 5' end forms complementary base pairs with the 5' splice junction, thus defining the 5' donor site of an intron. The record is from RNAcentral. Lineage: Eukaryota; Metazoa; Chordata; Mammalia; Afrosoricida; Tenrecidae.
AGAUUUUCAGCAGGGGCGAUACCAUGAUCCAAAAGGUGGUUUUCCCAGGGCGAGGCUUAUCCAUUGCACUCCGGGCGUGCUGACCCCUGCGAUUUCCGCAAAUGUGGGAAACUCGACAGCAUCAUUUGUGGUAGUGGGGGGCUGCGUUCGCGCUCUCCCCUG